UUAAUGAAGUCAAAAUAUGAGCAGGUAUUUUUUUUUGUUCAUGUGAGAAAUGAAAACCACUUUAAUUUUUUUAUUCAAUAUUAUCCCUUUGGCAGGUGGAAAGUAAAGGGUUAUUCCCACUGAGAUGACAGAAACCUUGGCUCCUAGAGAGGCACUUCCUGUCUCUCUCCCAGACUCCAGAGUUUCUGAGUUCCCUUCCUCUCCCGCCCUGAGGAUUUCCCGUAGCAGCUAUAACACACUGUUUCCAGGUUCCUGUCUCCCCACAUUCUAAGCUAAUGAUGAACAGGAUGAUUUCAGAAAGACCUGGAAAGACCUUCAUGAACUGAUGCAGAGAGAAACAAGCAGAACCAGAAGAACAUUGUUCACAGUAACAGCAAAACUGCAAUGAUCAACUGUGACAGACUUUGUUCUUAUCAGCAGUACAAUGAUCCAGGACAAAUCUAAGGGACUUAUGACAAAGAAUGCUAUCUACCCCCAGAGAAAGAACUGUUGGAAUAGGAAUGCAGACAAAAGCAUACACAUUUUCACUUGUUUAUUUGGGUUUUAUGUUUUGGGGUUUUGGUUUUAUAAGAUUAUUCACAAAGAUGAACAAUAUGGAAAUAUAUUAUACAUGAUAAUACA
Molecule: long non-coding RNA, 621 nt
Organism: Monodelphis domestica (gray short-tailed opossum)
Lineage: Eukaryota; Metazoa; Chordata; Mammalia; Didelphimorphia; Didelphidae
Source: RefSeq, a predicted model, not a curated record